Molecule: transfer RNA, 71 nt
Filed under: Marmota monax (woodchuck)
Lineage: Eukaryota; Metazoa; Chordata; Mammalia; Rodentia; Sciuridae
Description: tRNA.Ala
Rfam family: tRNA
About the family: Transfer RNA (tRNA) molecules are approximately 80 nucleotides in length. Their secondary structure includes four short double-helical elements and three loops (D, anti-codon, and T loops).
Source: RNAcentral
GGGGUUGUAGCUCAGUGGUGGAGUGCUUGCUUCGCAUGCAUGAGGCGCUGGGUUCGAUCCUCAGCACCACA